AACAGGGAUUGCCUCAGUAACGGCGAGUGAAGCGGCAAUAGCUCAAAUUUGAAAUCUGGCAUCAGCCCGAAUUGUAAUUUGUAGAGGAUGCUUCGGCUUACGUUUUGGUCUAAGUUCCUUGGAACAGGACGUCACAGAGGGUGAGAAUCCCGUUUGUGGCCAUAACUUCCGCCAUGUGAAGCUCCUUCGACGAGUCGAGUUGUUUGGGAAUGCAGCUCUAAAUGGGAGGUAUGUUUCUUCUAAAGCUAAAUACCGGCCAGAGACCGAUAGCGCACAAGUAGAGUGAUCGAAAGAUGAAAAGCACUUUGGAAAGAGAGUUAAAAAGUACGUGAAAUUGUUGAAAGGGAAGCGCUUGCAACCAGACUUGCCCGUAGUUGCUCAACCGGUCCUUCGGCCGGUGCACUCUUCUGCGGUCAGGCCAGCAUCAGUUCGGGUGGUUGGAUAAAGGCCUUGAGAAUGUAGCUCUCUUCGGGGAGUGUUAUAGCUCUUGGUGCAAUACAGCCUGCCUGGACUGAGGCCCGCGCUUCGGCUAGGAUGCUGGCGUAAUGGUUGUAAGCGGCCCGUCUUGAAACACGGACCAAGGAGUCUAACAUCUAUGCGAGUGUUUGGGUGUCAAACCCGUGCGCGUAAUGAAAGUGAACGGAGGUGGGAACUUUUUGUGCACCAUCGACCGAUCCUGAUGUCUUCGGAUGGAUUUGAGUAAGAGCAUAGCUGUUGGGACCCGAAAGAUGGUGAACUAUGCCUGAAUAGGGUGAAGCCAGAGGAAACUCUGGUGGAGGCUCGCAGCGGUUCUGACGUGCAAAUCGAUCGUCAAAUUUGGGUAUAGGGCGAA
RNAcentral lists this ribosomal RNA (832 nucleotides) under Berkleasmium latisporum. Its description in RNAcentral is "partial large subunit ribosomal RNA". It matches the Rfam family "Eukaryotic large subunit ribosomal RNA", at positions 67 to 927 of the family's 3401-position model. Lineage: Eukaryota; Fungi; Ascomycota; Dothideomycetes; Tubeufiales; Tubeufiaceae. The record is from RNAcentral.